RNAcentral lists this ribosomal RNA (468 nucleotides) under uncultured bacterium. RNAcentral describes it as "partial 16S ribosomal RNA". It matches the Rfam family "Bacterial small subunit ribosomal RNA", at positions 28 to 507 of the family's 1533-position model. The record is from RNAcentral.
GACGAACGCUGGCGGCGCGCCUAACACAUGCAAGUCGAACGGAGCUGCGAGAAGCUUGCUUUUCUUAGCUUAGUGGCGGACGGGUGAGUAACGCGUGGGUAACCUGCCUUUGAGUGUGGGACAACAUUUGGAAACGACUGCUAAUACCGCAUAAUCUCACGAUCCGGCAUCGUAGUUAGGGAAAAGUAUUUAUUCUAUUCAGUAUGGACGGACCUCCAAUUAGCUAGUUGGUUGGGUAAGUGCCCACCAAGGCGACGAUUGCUAGACGGACGGAGAGGCUGGACCGAGACAUUGGCGGUGAGACACGGUACAGAAUCCUCCGGGAGGCAGGAGUGGGGGAUAUUGCAAAAUCGCGGAAGUCAUGAUGGAGCGCCGAUCCGUAGAGGAAGAAGGUUUUGGGAUAGUAACCUCCAAUCGAUAGUGAAGAUAAUGACGGUACCUAACAAGAAAGCAACGGCUAACUACGUG